Molecule: long non-coding RNA, 1577 nt
Organism: Mauremys reevesii (Reeves's turtle)
Lineage: Eukaryota; Metazoa; Chordata; Testudines; Geoemydidae
Exons: 3
Source: RefSeq, a predicted model, not a curated record
AAGCGCAGGAAAAGAACGUCCUUAGGAAAGCAAUUGUGCUCCAUCAGCUAACCCGUCUCCUAUGACUAGAGGUCUUAAAUCAUCAUUCACCUGCCAGCCAGGCGUCAGACCGUCAGGGGCUUUGUGAAGAAAACAGUCUAUUUGGCGUCCAAGACACAGGUCUGCUGCUGGGAGCUGCCGGAGCCCAUUGUGUUCAGUGCCAGCCUGUACACUUAUUUCCAUCUCUUCUGUUUCUACAGUUCUCCCUCUGUUUCACUCUGGCCCCUUUUCCCAUUUUGAAGAAAUGCCAUAGGAUAUCUCAGUGAGCAGGAGAACAAGCCUCAGAAUGAAGAGAGCCGCUUUCCAUGCAGAUUGUUCCCUAUGCCUGGGACGAUGAGAUUUCUCUGUUGUGUUUCUUGAGUAUGCAGCAGUGGCCAGUUUCAACAAUUUAGAAAUCAAAUGUUAGCAUUAGGGAGUCUGAUACUCAGCAAAUCCAGAACAGAAAAGGUAGCUUAAAAUCUUGUCUAUAAGAGUUCACAACAUGUGGUGAUGGAUUCGGACAUUGUGCUGAGAACUCAAAGGUCAGCGGGUGAGAGCCAGUCAAGGGCUUUUGAAGGUCAUUCCUGUGCACCGAGUGUCAGACUGGACAAUACCAUUGGUCAAUAAGUAUCAUUCAGAUCGGUCAAGUCACCAGUCUAAACCACCUCGUUCUUUUUGUGCCAAGGGCUCUUCCCCCUAGAUCGCUCUGUCUCUGACAUGAUGAGUAACAUUGUGUAUUGUAAUGCCCUGGCCCAAAGGCCACUGACCUCAGUGGGAGGAGGACUGGACUUGUGAUGGAUCUGGACAUAAUGGAGCUCAGGACACCAUAUAUUUUAUUGUGUCUUUCAUCCCAUAUUCUGGCAUCUUAAUAAGCAGGUUGUUUUGAAGCCAUAAGGAGUGAGGCAUAGGAAUGGCCUCUGAAUAGAAACACAUGGGGGCGGGGUAGAGGGGGAUGCAGAUGUCUUUCGCUUUGGGGAUCCGUGGUGGGCUGAGAUCAGCUGCUGAGAUGGCAGGCAGGCAACGGCUGAGUGUGUGGGUGUGAGGGAAGAAAUCACCAGCAGCCGGCCCUAGACCAGUUUUGGAGCAUUCCUAAAGGAAACACAAGAAAAGGAAAAAUCCCAACCCAGAACAAUCUUUGCAGUUUAUGGGCUGAUAAGUACAUAUUUAGCCCAGAUUAGGUUCUGCUAUUACCUGACUUGGUUGGUGAUGGUUCCUAUCCCUGCUGGGUCUGAGCACCUCAGAAUCAUUAAUUCAUUAAUUAAACCUUGCACACCCAAUGUGGUGUAGGGCAGAAUUACUGUUCCCAUUUUACAGCUGGGAAAACUGAGUCACGGAGCCAUUAAGCGACUUUCCCCAGCUCACAUAGUGAAUCAGUAGUAGAGAUGGGAACUGAUCAGAAUCCAUGUCCUGUGUCUUAACAACAUGACCAUCCUUCCUCUCAGUGCCUCUUAAAAACAAAACCCUUUGUGCACCCGUUAAAGAGGGGAAAUGUUGCUACUUACAAGAAUAAUUGAAAAUCUCUUCUUGAGGGACCGCUGUACAUAAAAAGAAUUAAAUGA